CGCGACAAAGGCUAACCCAGGGUGACCUGGGGGCGCAAAGCUACGGGACCUACCGGUGAAAUCGCCGGGAGGUCGGCCGGGUUGCCGAAC
This is a non-coding RNA of Armatimonadetes bacterium 13_1_40CM_3_65_7, 90 nucleotides long. Lineage: Bacteria; Bacillati; Armatimonadota. The record is from Rfam.